Molecule: ribosomal RNA, 468 nt
Filed under: uncultured bacterium
Lineage: Bacteria
Description: partial 16S ribosomal RNA
Rfam family: Bacterial small subunit ribosomal RNA
Source: RNAcentral
GACGAACGCUGGCGGCGUGCUUAACACAUGCAAGUCGAACGGAAAGGCCCUGCUUUUGUGGGGUGCUCGAGUGGCGAACGGGUGAGUAACACGUGAGUAACCUGCCCUUGACUUUGGGAUAACUUCAGGAAACUGGGGCUAAUACCGGAUAGGAGCUCCUGCUGCAUGGUGGGGGUUGGAAAGUUUCGGCGGUUGGGGAUGGACGCGCGGCUUAUCAGCUUGUUGGUGGGGUAGUGGCUUACCAAGGCUUUGACGGGUAGCCGGCCUGAGAGGGUGACCGGCCACAUUGGGACUGAGAUACGGCCCAGACUCCUACGGGAGGCAGCAGUGGGGAAUAUUGCACAAUGGGCGGAAGCCUAAUGCAGCAACGCCGCGUGCGGGAUGACGGCCUUCGGGUUGUAAACCGCUUUCGCCUGUGACGAAGCGUGAGUGACGGUAAUGGGUAAAGAAGCACCGGCUAACUACGUG